UACAGAGGGGGCAAGCGUUGUUCGGAAUUACUGGGCGUAAAGGGCGCGUAGGCGGCCUUCUAAGUCGAACGUGAAAUCCCCGGGCUCAACCCGGGAACUGCGUCCGAUACUGGAAGGCUUGAAUCCGGGAGAGGGAUGCGGAAUUCCAGGUGUAGCGGUGAAAUGCGUAGAUAUCUGGAGGAACACCGGUGGCGAAGGCGGCCUGCUGGGCAGUAGCUGACGCUGAUGCGCGACAGCGUGGGGAGCAAACAGG
This 253-nucleotide ribosomal RNA is filed under the name uncultured bacterium. Its description in RNAcentral is "partial 16S ribosomal RNA". It matches the Rfam family "Bacterial small subunit ribosomal RNA", at positions 524 to 776 of the family's 1533-position model. The record is from RNAcentral.